Long non-coding RNA from Neofelis nebulosa (Clouded leopard), 1381 nucleotides. RefSeq lists it as uncharacterized. The transcript has 3 exons. NCBI's taxonomy places the organism in Eukaryota, Metazoa, Chordata, Mammalia, Carnivora, Felidae. The record is from RefSeq and is a predicted model, not a curated record.
AAAUAAGAAACAUUGAAAAUGAGGUCCAGUGUUUUUUGAAAACAUAUCAAAUCUGUUUUGGAUAUCCAAAUAAAUGCAGCAGAAGUCACUGAUUGAUUUACGCAACUCUGGAAACUUGCAGAGUGAAGAACACAUACGUUAAUUAUUAUAUUUUCUCAUGGCAAACCUCCGCUGGGAACAGGAAUUUAAAACCUCACUGCCCCAGGAAUACAGACCCAAAUUCCAGGAACUGGGACCCAUAUUCCAGGACCCCAAGAAAUGACAUCAGCCUGAAGAGCCGAGUGUAACAACAGUCCUGCGUGAGUUCAGCUACCUUCAGAAGAUUAUUAUCGACCCACGUCUUACCUUCACCAUACACUGAUGCCUCAUUCUGUAGGAGACGGCUCUAGCAAGUAGUGCUUUCCGAGUAUGGAUUUCCAGAAGAGUUUCCUCAAGCAAGCAGAACUUAGUUCUCUAGCUGACACCCUAGCCUGGUGAUCCUCCCUGGAGGCACAGCCGCCGAAACUCAAGAACAACACUAACCUUCCGUAGGGGGACUUCCGUUAAGAACAGCCUGUCAAACAACCAACAGGAAGUUGGGUAACCGUGGCUGCUCUUUAAUUUUUGAGUUUUGUGCAUCUCUGUGUGAGUGGCGGAUGGCAAUAAGACGGGUGGCGCCUAAGAAACUAUGCCUUUUAUCUUCAAGUUGAGGAAAUUAUCACUUUACUGACGUCAUUCUGCAUCUAGCAACCUUUCUGAAGUGAGUUAGGACUUUAAUUGCAAGGGUCACCGGUGUUCUGCAGGAGGACUUCACCAGUCUUGCCCGUAAAUGACAGAGCACUGGUAUGUAAAGCAUUUGGUUUUUCACAAAUGCUUUUACUUGGGUUGGAAGCCGUGAUCUAUGUUUCAGGUCACAGGCAAGAACACGCUUUCCCCUAUCUGUUUCCAAGCGAUCAAUCAUUUAUUUCCCAGGGGAAUUGUAGUUCUUGGGCAUGUGGCCUGUUUUCCAUUGGCUUCUAUUAUCAUUUGCUAAUUAGAUUACAACCUAGUAUUUACCUUACUCUGUGGUUUCGAGACCUUUCCCUGCAGUGUUUUUCUGUUAGCUUUACAAAUGCUGCAAAUCAUGCUUUCUCUCGGCUUAUUGUGUGAAACCAAGAAGAGUGGGGAACUUUACAGUCGCAUCUUUUUUUUUUUUUUUUUUUUUAAGUUGGGGAAAGAGGUAAAAAUGUUAAAAUUAAUCUUACUUUAUGUUUAGACAUGACUCAACUUUAAAGAUAUGCAGUGAGGGCAUUCCAGAGAUUUUGUCAUCCAGGGAAUACUUCAGGUUUAAAACAUAACUGUUAGCUUAAAUUGACAGCCUGCUUAAGCUUAAUAAAAACUUCUUCUUUAACAUGGAAUAGUA